UACGUAGGGGGCUAGCGUUGUCCGGAAUCAUUGGGCGUAAAGAGCGUGUAGGCGGCCCGGUAAGUCCGCUGUGAAAGUCGGGGGCUCAACCCUCGAAUGCCGGUGGAUACUGUCGGGCUAGAGUGCGGAAGGGGCAACUGGAAUUCCCAGUGUAGCGGUGAAAUGCGUAGAUAUUGGGAAGAACACCUGAGGCGAAGGCGGGUUGCUGGGCCGACACUGACGCUGAGGCGCGAAAGCCAGGGGAGCGAACGGG
RNAcentral lists this ribosomal RNA (253 nucleotides) under uncultured bacterium. RNAcentral's name for it is "partial 16S ribosomal RNA". It matches the Rfam family "Bacterial small subunit ribosomal RNA", at positions 524 to 776 of the family's 1533-position model. The record is from RNAcentral.